RNAcentral lists this ribosomal RNA (265 nucleotides) under uncultured bacterium. RNAcentral describes it as "partial 16S ribosomal RNA". It matches the Rfam family "Bacterial small subunit ribosomal RNA", at positions 57 to 305 of the family's 1533-position model. The record is from RNAcentral.
GCAAGUCGAGCGAGACGGUUGAUAUUGAUCCUUCGGGUGAUUUAUUAACUAGACAGCGGCGGACGGGUGAGUAACGCGUGGGUAACCUGCCUUAUACUGGGGGAUAACGUUUUGAAAAGAACGCUAAUACCGCAUAAGCGCACAGUAUCGCAUGAUACAGUGUGAAAAACUCCGGUGGUAUAAGAUGGACCCGCGUCUGAUUAGCUAGUUGGUGAGAUAAAAGCUCACCAAGGCGACGAUCAGUAGCCGACCUGAGAGGGUGAUC